GAUAAACGCUGGCGGCGCACAUAAGACAUGCAAGUCGAACGGACUUAAUCGAAAUAUUUAUAUUUUGAAGCGGUUAGUGGCGGACUGGUGAGUAACGCGUAAGGAACCUACCUAUUAGAGGGGAACAACAGUUAGAAAUGACUGCUAAUACCGCAUAUGCCUUAGAAUCACAUGGUUCAAAAGGGAAAGGAGCAAUCCGCUGAUAGAUGGGCUUGCGUCUGAUUAGCUAGUUGGUGGGGUAACGGCCUACCAAGGCGACGAUCAGUAGCCGAACUGAGAGGUUGAACGGCCACAUUGGGACUGAGAUACGGCCCAG
RNAcentral lists this ribosomal RNA (316 nucleotides) under uncultured bacterium. Its description in RNAcentral is "bacterial SSU rRNA". It matches the Rfam family "Bacterial small subunit ribosomal RNA", at positions 28 to 334 of the family's 1533-position model. The record is from RNAcentral.